GGAGAGAUGUCCGAGGGGUCGAAGGAGCACGACUGGAAAUCGUGUGUACGACACAAUCGUACCGAGGGUUCAAAUCCCUCUUUCUCCGCCA
RNAcentral lists this transfer RNA (91 nucleotides) under Clostridiales bacterium. RNAcentral describes it as "tRNA-Ser". It matches the Rfam family "tRNA". Rfam says of the family: Transfer RNA (tRNA) molecules are approximately 80 nucleotides in length. Their secondary structure includes four short double-helical elements and three loops (D, anti-codon, and T loops). Lineage: Bacteria; Bacillati; Bacillota; Clostridia; Eubacteriales. The record is from RNAcentral.